RNAcentral lists this ribosomal RNA (475 nucleotides) under uncultured organism. Its description in RNAcentral is "partial 16S ribosomal RNA". It matches the Rfam family "Bacterial small subunit ribosomal RNA", at positions 333 to 800 of the family's 1533-position model. The record is from RNAcentral.
ACACUCCUACGGGAGGCAGCAGUGGGGAAUUUUGGACAAUGGGCGAAAGCCUGAUCCAGCAAUGCCGCGUGUGUGAAGAAGGCCUUCGGGUUGUAAAGCACUUUUGUCCGGAAAGAAAUCCUUGGCUCUAAUACAGUCGGGGGAUGACGGUACCGGAAGAAUAAGCACCGGCUAACUACGUGCCAGCAGCCGCGGUAAUACGUAGGGUGCGAGCGUUAAUCGGAAUUACUGGGCGUAAAGCGUGCGCAGGCGGUUUGCUAAGACCGAUGUGAAAUCCCCGGGCUCAACCUGGGAACUGCAUUGGUGACUGGCAGGCUAGAGUAUGGCAGAGGGGGGUAGAAUUCCACGUGUAGCAGUGAAAUGCGUAGAGAUGUGGAGGAAUACCGAUGGCGAAGGCAGCCCCCUGGGCCAAUACUGACGCUCAUGCACGAAAGCGUGGGGAGCAAACAGGAUUAGAUACCCUGUAGUCCCAUGA